GACGAACGCUGGCGGCGUGCUUAACACAUGCAAGUCGAACGGAAAGGCCCUGCUUUUGUUGGGUGCUCGAGUGGCGAACGGGUGAGUAACACGUGAGUAACCUGCCCUUGACUUUGAGAUCACUUCAGGAAACUGGGGCUAAUACCGGAUAGGAGCUCCUGCUGCAUGGUGGGGGUUGGAAAGUUUCGGCGGUUGGGGAUGGACUCGCGGCUUAUCAGCUUGUUGGUGGGGUAGUGGCUUGCCAAGGCUUUGACGGGUAGCCGGCCUGAGAGGGUGACCGGCCACAUUGGGACUGAGAUACGGCCCAGACUCCUACGGGAGGCAGCAGUGGGGAAUAUUGCACAAUGGGCGGAAGCCUGAGGCAGCAACGCCGCGUGCGGGAUGACGGCCUUCGGGUUGUAAACCGCUUUCGCCUGUGACGAAGCGUGAGUGACGGUAAUGGGUAAAGAAGCACCGGCUAACUACGUG
This 468-nucleotide ribosomal RNA is filed under the name uncultured bacterium. RNAcentral's name for it is "partial 16S ribosomal RNA". It matches the Rfam family "Bacterial small subunit ribosomal RNA", at positions 28 to 507 of the family's 1533-position model. The record is from RNAcentral.